RNAcentral lists this ribosomal RNA (822 nucleotides) under uncultured Planctomycetota bacterium. Its description in RNAcentral is "bacterial SSU rRNA". It matches the Rfam family "Bacterial small subunit ribosomal RNA", at positions 87 to 918 of the family's 1533-position model. Lineage: Bacteria; Pseudomonadati; Planctomycetota. The record is from RNAcentral.
GGUGGACAGCGGCGUAAGGGAGAGUAACGCGUAGUUACUUGCCCCAGGGUCCGGGAUAGCGGUGGGAAACUGCCAGUAAUACCGGAUGAUAUCUACGGAUCAAAGGUGUGAUUCCGCCCUGGGAGAGGACUGCGUCCUAUUAGCUUGUUGGUGGGGUAAUGGCCUACCAAGGCAUUGAUGGGUACCGGGUGUGAGAGCAUGGCCCGGCUCACUGGGACUGAGACACUGCCCAGACACCUACGGGUGGCUGCAGUCGAGAAUCUUCGGCAAUGCGCGAAAGCGUGACCGAGCGACGCCGCGUGCGGGAUGAAGGCCUUCGGGUUGUAAACCGCUGUCAGAGGGGAUGAAAUGCCGGAAGGCUAUCCUUCCGGUUUGACAAAUCCUCAGAGGAAGGACGGGCUAAGUUCGUGCCAGCAGCCGCGGUAAGACGAACCGUCCAAACGUUAUUCGGAAUCACUGGGCUUAAAGGGUGCGUAGGCGGUCCGGCAAGUUGGGUGUGAAAUCCCUCGGCUCAACCGAGGAAUUGCGCUCAAAACUGCCGGACUUGAGGGAGACAGAGGUGAGCGGAACUUGCGGUGGAGCGGUGAAAUGCGUUGAUAUCGCAAGGAACACCAGUAGCGAAAGCGGCUCACUGGGUCUCUUCUGACGCUGAGGCACGAAAGCUAGGGGAGCGAACGGGAUUAGAUACCCCGGUAGUCCUAGCUGUAAACGAUGAGCACUGGGUUGGAGGCUCCUCCAUAGGCUUCCUGCCGUAACGAAAGUGUUAAGUGCUCCGCCUGGGGGGUAUGGUCGCAAGGUUGAAACUCAAAGGAAUUGACGGGG